Molecule: RNA transcript, 1126 nt
Organism: Paramacrobiotus metropolitanus
Lineage: Eukaryota; Metazoa; Tardigrada; Eutardigrada; Parachela; Macrobiotidae
Exons: 4
Source: RefSeq, a predicted model, not a curated record
AUUUGUAAAAAUUUCGAACCGCCAGUUACAAUUCUUCUUCUGACCCUACCGAUUAACACAAACCCAAACAAAAAAUCUUAUUAUUUUAUGGUAAAAAAACAACAACUUAAGUCUCAUCACACUGCAGAAAUUACUGUGACGUAUAUCACCAGACACGCCUUUCUAUGUGUGACGUAAUGACCGUCUGCGGUUCUUGUUUUAACUUUUGCAGUGUGGUGAUUUAGCAGUGAUUUUUCUUUUUUGUUUAGGAAAAAUUGAGAAUAUAAAUAAUAGAUUAAAAAGUUUAAAUAAUCUGGGUUGUCGUUUUGUUGCGAAUUUGUGUGCCUAACGAACUUUGAUCCCGCAUUGAUGAGCGCGUUCCUGCGAAGACUGCGCUCCUUCUUCGGAUUAUUCCGCCAAAUAGCCUCAGUGGGCGAACAAGAGCUCCCACAGGUUCGACAUAGUAAGCAUGCUUUUCUUGUGAUCUUAUCGUGGUUGGAGAGAAAGCGCAACAAGCUCCCAUUAUCGGUCGUAUUUCCCUUGAUCCCCAUCUUAAAUCUGCGGAAGUUUUUGGAAAUUUCUCUCAGCCAGUCAUGGCAUCCGUAGCGACGAAAAUAGCAAACUUAAAGCCCCAUGUCCCUUUGAUAAGGUUCCGGUAUAGAAAAGACCUUACUGGGAAAAAUGUUUCAGGAUUGGCUGCUCCGUCGACAAAAAAAGACACAUCACCUUCUACGGCAUCCUCAAGCCGGUCUCCCAUGACUGCUUUUGAUGAGCCUCCGUCAGGAUUCAAAAGAUUACCGAUAAGCGAAGAAGAAAUAUUUGCGAUAAACACCGGCGGUGUUCCUUUUUCGCGACCUGCGAAAGCGAAAUGAAGGCAGUUAGUUUGAUUGUGAUAUGUAACGCUGUACCGCGCCUUGACGCCUGUUUUCGAGUGGUGUUGUAUUUGUUAUUUCAGAUGACUACCGAGUAGUAAGUUAUUAGCUCGCCUGCCUGUUAACCUUGUUGAUUGUAUUUUUUCUUGAAGAGUUUCUGAAAUUUUGGACAGUUUUUAUGGAUAGUUUGCUUUGUGCGGUGUAAUGUUCUGGUCGCCUUUGCAAGUGUACUUGUAGUCUUGUUGUUAAUAGCAGAAGAAAUUUUUCCCCAGUGU